This 2475-nucleotide long non-coding RNA is filed under the name Homo sapiens (human). RNAcentral's name for it is "long non-coding RNA NONHSAT182548.1". The record is from RNAcentral. Lineage: Eukaryota; Metazoa; Chordata; Mammalia; Primates; Hominidae.
GAGAAGGGGCAACGCUGGAGGAGUUGUCAAAUUGUCACUCCUUGAGGAAAAGCGGGGGACUGAGGCUGAGUUCCAGGGCCAGAUUCCUAGGCUCUGAGACUCUGGCCUGCACCUGAAUAGGAGACGGCCCUGUGACCUUGUGCUGAUGGGUCUGACACAAGCUCAACACCUCACUUGGAAUAAUAACUGCCACUACUGAACAUCCACUCCAGGAGAGACAUUUCACCUGUUACAUUCUCACCACCAUCCCAUGCAGCAGUUAAGGAUUAUCUGCAUUAACUGAUGAGCAACUUGAGGUUUGGGAAACAUAAAGAAACCUGACCAGGGUUAUACAGCUAGUGUGUAGGGGACAGCAUGUGCUCUGGGAGCCUCUGUCUUCCCAAAUCCAGACUCCACGUUGCUUUUUGUGGGUUGAACCAGAUGGGGUCCCAAGGCCCCUAGCAGAUCUGCUGUCUGCAUAGUCCUCUUGGUUUUGCCCCUCAUGUAAUAUAUAGGUGUCUUAAGUCUGUUUGGGUGUCUAUCACAAAAUAUCAUAGACUGGGUAAUUUUGAAACAACAGAAAAGUAUUUAUCACAGUUCUGGAGGCUCUGGGGGGCUUCUGGGCACCCCACCACUCAUGACAACACUGUGUAGACAGUAAUAUGUGUUUUCAUUCCCCCAGCGGGUCACCAGGCAGCAGGUAAUGAGGGUCACCAGGUGCCAGGAUGGGUGCCACGAUUGUUCACCAAUCAGCCAACUUUACAAUCCAGCUUCAGAAACUUCCAAGUUGAACAUUUAGAAUCAGUUAAAAUAUUAGGAUCUAGCUCUGGGAAGUGAAGUUUAUAGGGUAAGAACUGCUUAGAAGUUUUGAUUCCAAUAAUUAGAAUUAUAAACUAAGCCCCCAUUUCUUACACUAUUUUAGCACCAUCAGGCUUGGCCAAGAAACCCGUUGGAGUUACAAUUUGCACUGCCUACAAAACAGACUCAGAAUGAUCUCAAAAUCAAGCCUCGAGACCCGAUUAGCUCAGCUGGAUGUGAUCUGGAAUGAAGAAGCAUCAGACACUGGGGGGCGCUUCUUGAACAGGCACUGGGCUAGACAGCCCAGACCUCGCGGAAACAAAGCGGGAAGGGGCCGCUCCUGGGGAGUUUUUCCCAGCUUCCCUGGGCCGGUGAGGGGUCCUGGCGUCCUGAACUGGAGAUGCUCCUUAGAGGGCACUGCUUCAGCCACCCCUGCCUUAGCAUACAUACGGGUCCCACAGGGGUCCUUCGACACCAGCUCAUCGUCUGGGUUCCACCAUCCACCCACGCACUCAUUUGGCAGCUAUCAACGGAGUAUUCACAGUACGCUGCUCACAGUUCUAACCGCGGAGGAUAGAGUUGAGGCCCACACGACAGCCCCUGCUCUCACAGAACUGAUGUCUCUAGAAGAGUCUUCCCUCAGUGAGAACGUUCUGAUUUCUAGAACAUUCUUUCUUCUGAUGAGUGAACAGCCUCACCGGAACUUCCCCAUCCUCCUGGCUUGGUUCCUGAAGUGGCCCAAGGCUGCCUUCUCCCUCCCGUGGGUGAACAGGGUCACUGCUUCCUCUCUUGUCCAGGCCCCCUGGCCUGACCCUGAGUCCCGGGCGUAACGGCGUUGUUGAACCACCACAACCCCAGGCGGCGCCUUCCUCUUGGCCCAGGGGCUCUCUUGGGGACAGUGUGCAGUACUCCCCAAGGGGGCUUUGCUGUGCAAAAGCAGCCCCUGCCGAUGCUGCGGCUCCCGUGGAUGGAGCACUGCCGUGGGAACAGAGUUGGAACUCAUCCAAAAGAAUAAAAGACAACUGUGUUGGAAGAUUGCCAAGGUUUGUAGCUGUGCCACCGCAGACUUCAGAGAUGAACACUGCCUUGGAGACGAGGAGGAUUCAAGUUGCAGAAGCAUUUAGGGCUCCCUGGGGGGAUGAGGCAGCUAGCGUGGCUUCUGUCACCAGUUUGAAGGUGCUUGUCAAUGGGGUCCCAUCCCGUGUGUCCAUUCAGCACCCUCUGGAGCACUGACCUAUCUGCAGUUUGACCUGUGUUUCUCCACUUCUUGGCAUCAAGGUGCUGCUGGGGUUACCAUGUCUCUGCCUUGUUGUUUAGCAGCAGUAGAAUCGACAGUUUCAAAAGCAUCUUGGAGUUCCCUCCGCUUUCUUCCUUUGAAACACACAAUGCUUUGAACACUCUGUGACCCGGCCAGCUGCAUGUUUUCCCUUGCAGGCUUGCACCCAAGCUGGGCUUUGAACAUUCGCAGGCACUGAUAAAGUUGUUUAGGUUGUUGCCUCAAACACUGAAAUAUCACACAUGUUGCUAAACAUGGAGAAAGUGGCCUCAGCCCUGAGCUAAAUGCCUUAAACCUUCAUAUAAACUCCAUGACACUCGCUGGGAACACAUCUGGGUAGAACAUCUCCUAUCUUGCUGACUGUUUAAAGGAUGAUGAAGCCCUGUGUAUGUAAAUUCUCCUAAUAAAUGCUUUAGAUGGAU